Long non-coding RNA from Tympanuchus pallidicinctus (lesser prairie-chicken), 2462 nucleotides. RefSeq lists it as uncharacterized. The record is from RefSeq and is a predicted model, not a curated record. The transcript has 8 exons. NCBI's taxonomy places the organism in Eukaryota, Metazoa, Chordata, Aves, Galliformes, Phasianidae.
GCGGCACGGCUCGGGCCGAGCGGCCCGCGGGUGCCGGAGUCCCGCGCCUCGCCCGGCGGGACGGCCGCGGCCGCGCGGUUUCUCUUUGAGCUCGAGACUCAGCUUACCUUAAUUCCAAAGCCGUUGAAGAGAUUGACGUCGCGUCGGCAUGGUUGAAACAAAGCUGAGAAAAGAGUGGCAGGUUGUACUUCCUGCACUGCGAAGCAUGGAGGGGAUCAUCCUGUACACAGCAGACAGAAGAUACACUGGGAAAACAGCUGACUGCGAGAUUACCUAAAAAGAAUUGUCUCUUCGGGCAGAAUCUGGAAGGUAUUUCAGAAGAGAGAGAGAAAGGCCUAAAAUCUGAAAGAGUACUGGCAUGUUUGGCUACAAAGAUAAUGAGAGAAGAGCCUCUGAGAAGCACGACUGACAAUAUUUCAGGGAAGAAGCAGCAGCAAAGCUUGAUGCAGGAAGAACUUCGAAACAUUUGGUAGAGCCACGUGUGACUGAUCAAAAUAUUCACCCUAAAAAAAAAAAAAAAAAAAAAAAAAAAAAAACAACCCACACCACACAGAUUGUUAAGACUUGCUAGAAUCCAGGAGACUUUUCCAAUGGGACUUUAUCUACCCACAAUCACUUUGAAGACCUUCAUCCAAAUUUCUACAAUACAAAGCAACAAGAUUCCAUAUUUUGCAGCCACAGAAGGAAAGUUACCAUGCCUGCUUAACCGCUCAGCUACUGGUAAGAAGUUCAACAGCCCUUCUUCAGCUCCUUUCUGCCAUCCCAGGAUUUGAAAGAGUGGCGAAGUAUUUCAUCCCUUCACAGGAUUGGGCUGUGGUGUCUGCAGAAUGACCGCGUUUUUGAAGCGAGUGCAAGAAGCUGAGGCACCUGGAGACUGCAGCUGGGUGUGACAUGGGAGUGAUGCCAAGUAAGUUCAUGUCCUUAGGUGUAAGUGCAGUGAGUGGAAGAGCAAGAGCUGGGCAGCAGACAUGAACACUUGGCAGCUUGCUGCCCCUGGGCUCAUCUCUAGCGAGCCUGGACGGGUGCUAUGUAUGGGAGCUGCUGUUUCCCAGGAUGAGACUCUGGGGAUUGAGUUUUGUCAUCUCCCUCUUUAAAGGUUCAUGCUUAAAAUUGUCCUGAUUAGAAAGAGCCAGUAGAAAAUGAGGGCAAUAAGCAUAAGUGGUGAAACCUCAACUUCCGGUUAUGGGUUUUCUAAAUUUUUAUUUAUUUAGUUAUUUUAAUGACUCUUAGGGAAGUGGUUCUAGUUUGGAGCCCUCUUUCUAGAGAAGUUCAUGCUUGUGUGUAAUUAACGUUCCUGUCAGCUUGACUGCCAUCCUGGAAAACAGGUGUAGAGCUGCUAUAAGUAGCAAGGAGCCUCAUGCUUGCAGGGAGCUCCUCACAAACUCUAAAUUACAGUUUUGCUUCCUGUGCCACGACCUCAGGGCCCUGACCUGCAACUGCAGCAUAUUCUCUGUGACUAACAGCUGUAAUUCCCUAAUUAUCAUGCUCCCUUAUCCUGCCGUGUUGUAGAUUUUGUUACCAAGGGAGCAAGCAAUGUUUCCUCAUUCCUAUCCUUGCUCUGCACACUUCCAACUGUUUUAAAUCUGCCAUUUGAUGCAGCCCGUGAAGUCAAAUGUCUGUCUCUUGUUUCAGAUGCUCAUUGUCUUCAGAACAUAUGAUGUGUCUAUGCGCUGGGGAGGAGGGCAAAGCAAACCUUCUGGCCUUUCUUUUAGUGAAGGCUGAUGCUUUGUAGUUCCAGGUUCGAGUACCUUUAGUAGCUGCAGUGCUUUGGUGCAAAGUCCUGGACUAAACGUGGCCUUGCACUCAGCUUGCUCAGUGGUCACUGCUUCGUUAGACUGACUAACAGAGCUUCUGUAGAUGCUGGGAAAGAAAGGUGCAUGUAAAGCUCUGAAAGCUGGCUGUGUGUGUGGUGUAAUGGGGUGGUGUGCCACUGCCUGACAUGAUACUGGGGGAAACAGGUCUCUUUCAGUUAGCCUUGAAGUGGUCAGGCAGUUGGACUGGAAGACCUUCUGAAGGUCUCUUCCAAUGGAACUAUUCCAGUCUAAUCUCUAUUCUAAAUAAUAAACCAGCUGUGUAUGCCUUAGGCUUCACUGGUGUCUGUCCUUCUCCUGAAAGGAUGCUUGCAGGCUGGCUUCUGUUCCCACCAUGGCCAUGCCCAAGACAGAUGUACAACUUGUUUUUGCCCUUGGUAGGUGUGGUGAUGAGCAGGAAACCUUUCCAAGGGUGUGGCCUCCAACAAAUGGUAUUUUCUACCUUGCUCCAGAAAUAUUGUCUAAAUUGUGACAGAAAUGUCGCAAAAAUGUCGCAGGGUAAAAACUACUGAUUAAGUGGAUUUGCUGUGUGACUUCAGUCGUUAUGCAAAGAUGGAGGAAGUUGUUGCUUUCUCUGGCCUUUCUCUGGCUUUUGGCAGUUAUAUUUUCAAUAACUGAGCCUUGAAAAUUGAUAUUGGGGGUUGGUGGGGG